GAGAGAUGGCGGAGUGGUCGAUCGCGGCGGUCUUGAAAACCGUUGAUGUGAACAGCAUCCGGGGGUUCGAAUCCCUCUCUCUCC
This 84-nucleotide transfer RNA is filed under the name human gut metagenome. It matches the Rfam family "tRNA". Rfam says of the family: Transfer RNA (tRNA) molecules are approximately 80 nucleotides in length. Their secondary structure includes four short double-helical elements and three loops (D, anti-codon, and T loops). Further hydrogen bonds mediate the characteristic L-shaped molecular structure. tRNAs have two regions of fundamental functional importance: the anti-codon, which is responsible for specific mRNA codon recognition, and the 3' end, to which the tRNAs corresponding amino acid is attached (by aminoacyl-tRNA synthetases). tRNAs cope with the degeneracy of the genetic code in two manners: having more than one tRNA (with a specific anti-codon) for a particular amino acid; and 'wobble' base-pairing, i.e. permitting non-standard base-pairing at the 3rd anti-codon position. The record is from RNAcentral.